UUUCCAUCUACUAGGAUCCUGUAAUCGAACUUUUGAAAAUAUCAAGUCCAGAGAGCGAAUGGAGAGAGAUGGAAGGAAAGACGACGUCAAGAGGAGGAAACUCCUAACUAGGCGUGAUCGGCUCUUCAGAAAGCGGGUGAAAAUUGCAGAGAAGAUUCUAAACCAAGAGGACCUGUUGUACAUUCAGGGCUCUAACUCAAAUUUUGUGAGUGAUGAGGAAAGUGACGAGGAAAAAACUGGAUUUAAUUUUUCCUCACCAAAGUGGCUGUCAUGAUGAGCCUGGAGCUCCCUCCCUCUGCCACCAGAGGGAGCUCUCACCUCACCCUUUCCCCAGUCCUCACCUGGAGCUUCCCUCACCUGUUCUCACCAGCACCUGUUUUUCAUUUGCUCAUCAGUCCCCUAUUAUUUAACCUACCUUCGCCCCACUCCUCACCGUGAAGCCUCACCUUUACCCUACCCCGUGUAAACGCUCUUUCAGUUUUCCCGUUACCUUUUCAAGUCUUCACUUAAAAUAAACACGGUUGCACGUGGAUCCACUCGCCUCCGCCUCGUCUGUCCCAGCCUGACAGUGGCGCUCCACAAGGCUAACCAGACUGAUGGCACAAUGCCAAAAAGCGUUGAACGAAAAUAGAAAAAAGGGUAUAGAGCCAAGGUCAACUCACCCAAGACAAUCAGCUGGUUUUACGGCAAGGAACCCACCACCUGUGAACUCUUCUGCCAACUAUCUGGCAGACGAGUGGGUCAUGGAGUCUUAAAAAAAAAAAUAGGUGCAUGUUUGUGUUGUGUGCAUAUUUAUGCAGUGUUGUGCGUUUUUCUUUUAAUAAAAUAAUUUGAGUGAAA
This is a long non-coding RNA of Oryzias melastigma (Indian medaka), 840 nucleotides long. RefSeq lists it as uncharacterized. The record is from RefSeq and is a predicted model, not a curated record. The transcript is spliced from 2 exons. Lineage: Eukaryota; Metazoa; Chordata; Actinopteri; Beloniformes; Adrianichthyidae.